UCUGUUCAAGUGAUUAUGCCUCUCCUACAUGAUUUAGGGAAGAGGGAUCGUUUUUCCUGAAAUAUCUUGGAUUGGGUUCCAAUCAAUCAUUGUGGUCUUAUAACUCUUUCCAUUGAAUGGGUACAAGGUGCCAUGUGACCCAGUUACGUCCAGUGACAUAUAAGUGGAGGUCUACUAGUUUGCUGAUAGCUGCAUUUCAAGCACUUAGACUAUUGGCAGGCAUUUAUCAAGUGUUGAAUAAAUAAUUAUUGAAUGAAUGGAUUUUAAAUGCUAAAGAGUUUUUCAUUCAAAAUAAGAAUUCAUUGGAACAGACUGUUCUUUCCAGGCCAUUGCUGUGUCUGGAUGUGUUGCACGGAACUGCUGCAGCCAUCUUGUUACCAGUGUAAGGGUGAAGCCCACCCACAGGUGAGGCUGACCCAAGAGACGCAAAGAAGCAGAGCCCAAGCCAUCAUGGAAGAUCCUGACUUCUUGAGAUAAUAAAUUUCUUUCUUGCUUACAUCAAUUUAAGCUGAGAAUUUCUAUCAUUCGUUGAUGAAGUAAUCUUAACAGAUAUAUGCUGUUUUAUGCCAAGAGUUACCAUAUUUGUUGAGUAAUACAUAUAAAAGAGUUUAUAAGGCCUCCAUUUGGCUACCUACCAUUACAGGGCAUAAUAAUAAAAUCUCUUGAUAUAUUUAAUAGAAAGGUGGAUACUGUUUUUUAAAGAAAUUAUACUAAUGUGAUAUAUAUUUUAUAAAAUUCAAUAACAUUUAACACAUCAUGAUAAAGCAUAAUUUUAGGUACUACCAAAGAACAAAUAUCAACAGCUGGGAGACCCUUCUAGAGGACCAAAGAAUUCUGAAUCUCAGCCUUCACUGCUUUUAAAGCUGUGCAUAGAACAAGAUUAUUCUUCACUACCUUAAUUUCAGCACCAAGUUUCUGAAAGCCAUUGUAGUUAUCUAUUGCUACAUAACAAAUGACUCCCAAAUUUAGUGUCUUAAUACAAUGACAUUCAUUUUAUUAUUCCUCAUGAUUUCCGUGGGUCAGGAAUUUGGGAAGGGUUGAGCUGGCUGUGGGACUCUGAUCGCAGUCAGAUGGUGGCUGGAGCUGGAACAGUGGCAGGGGUGGGGCUGGAGCAGCAGUCAGCUAGGGGAUCUCUUCAUAUGGUCCAAGGGCCUCUCCAUGUGACCUCUGCUCAUGGGUAGUUUGUGCUUCCUCACAACAUGGCAGCCUCAGGGUAAUCAGGCUGCUCAUAAGGCCUGAAGUUUUCUAGAGGGAAGCAAACCGAAUGGGAGUUACAUUGCCUUUUAUGAUCUCGCCCCAGAAGUCACACAGCUUAAUUUUUGCUUCAUUGUAUUUUAUUUUUGCAAGAGAGCCACAAGCCUUCCCAGAAUCAAGGGAAAGAGAAUUAUACUCCAUCUCUUGAUGGGGGAGUGACAAGAUUCUAGAAUAGCAUAUGUGUCGAGAGAGAUUUUGGUGGUCAUCUUUGGAAAACACAACCUGCCAUAACCAUUAAAGAUGUUUCUGUGUGGCUUGUUUUUUUAUUUUUUUUCUUCUUUCUUUUGUGUUAAUUUUGCUGUCUAAAAUCUGUGGAAUGACCAAAUCUGUAAGUUCCUUGGAGUUAAGGAACUCAUUCUUUCUUUCCAUGCAAUUCCAGGACCACUUGGAUUCCAUAUCAAGGAUCAAACUAAGUUCAGAAAGUGAGAGAAUGGAAGAGAAUAAUAAUAAUAAUAAAAGAGCAUGAGUUUGUGUCAAGAGACUAUGAAGAGAGUGGUUUCGGUAUGAGUGAUAAGAAGUGGCAGGCGCUUUGAAAAUAAAAAUAUUAAGAUUGAAGUGGUACAGGAGAAUGCCUCCCAUUCACGCUGCUGAGUGUUCCUGAGUAUUCGAAAAGUUCUCCUGAAAGUUUACUCAGCAGAUUCACAAUAAACGAUGAAUUCAAUCUCCUGCAUGAUAUAAAGGGCAUCAAUGAGGAAGACCAAUAACCAAGCCAGUAUGACCACCCACCCCAUACAUUAAUUCAAUUUAAAGCUGUGGAGAAAUGAGGAAGAAACAGAUGUUGAUCUUAGGAUACUAUCGCUUAUCUGCCACUACAGAAGGAUUUAUGAAAUGCUACAACGACGGAAUCUUUUCGGAGAUCAGUGGCAUUCUCUGUUCUGAGUGUCACACAGCUUCUUAGAUGAAGACAUCAAAGAGCCACACCAGAAACAACCAGUGCAGUCCUAAUGCUUUGCCUACAUACGCUGAGCAAAAUGGAGAUUGGAGGCAAUUAAUCGGAGGCAAUUACCAAGAUAUGUUUUUUUCUUUUUAACUAUGAACAUUUUUCACACUGUUUGGUUAAAUCUUUUAGGAACAUAAAUCAUGCAAAAGCUUUCCUCUCUGGCUACUUCAUGUCACUUUGAAUAUGCACCAGAAGAUGCCAAUUCUGUAUUAAUUUCUAGUUUUGUAUUUUGAUGUUUAAGGGUGAAAAAAACCAAAGCUUGUUAUUCGGGUUUAGCAAUACAUUUAAAAAUUAUUUGAAGGACAUGUUAAAAUUAUAAGAUAAAAUAACUUAGAAAAAUCUACUUUAUGAAACAUUAAUAUUACUAGUUUUAUUUUUAGCUGUUACUGUAAUUUACUUACUGCAAAAUUUAAGCAGGAUUAAUUUUGUAUAACAAACAUAUUACAUUGUAAUAGGUUGUUAGUCUUAGAACAUAGUUUGCUGUACCAAUUUUGUGAUUCUUUUGGAUAAUUUUAAUAAAAAUAGUAUUAUGGGCUAGGAGUAUAUUAUCAAUAGUUUUGUUCUAUGAAUUAUUAUUUUUUAAUAGUUCUUUAUUGGAGUAUAAUUGCUUCACAAUACUGUUAGUUUCUGCUGUACAACAAAGUGAAUCAGCUAUACAUAUACAUAUAUCACCAUAUCCCCUCCCUCUUGAGCCUCCCUCCCACCCUCCCUAUCCCACCCCUCUAGGUCAUCCCAGAACACCAAGCUGAUCUCCCUGUGCUAUGCAGCUGCUUCCCACUAGCUAUCUAUUUUACGUUUGGUAGUGUAUAUAUGUCCAUGCCACUCUUUCACUUCGUCCCACCUUACCCUUCCCCCUGCCCAUAUCCUGUCCAUUCUCUAGUAGGUCUGCGUCUUUAUUCCCGUCUUGCCCCUAGGUUCUUCAUGACCAUUUUUUUUUUUUAAGAUUCCAUAUAUAUGUGUUAGCAUACAGUAUUUGUUUUUCUCUUUCUUACUUACUUCACUCUGUAUGACAGACUCUAUCUAGGUCCAUCCACCUCACUACAAAUAACUCAAUUUUGUUUCUUUUUAUGGCUAAUAUUCCAUUGUAUAUAUGUGCCACAUCUUCUUUAUCCAUUCAUCUGCCGAUGGACAUUUAGGUUGGUUCCGUGUCCUGGCUAUUGUAAAUAAAGAUUAUCUUUCAAUUGAACGUUUAAAGUCUUUUUGUUGCCAUUCUUACUCUUUGUUAAAAAUAACUUUAAAUUUCUUUGUGAAUUUUUAAUUUGUUUAUUGGGAAGAUUUAGGGAAGGUUCAUUUUGAUCCCAAAAAUGUAACAUAAAACUAACUUUCUAUGAAUUAAUUUAAUAAGUCAAACUAUUUCUAAGCGAAUAUUUAUUAUUAUUUAAAAAAAUAACUGCCUACCAAUAUUUUCACUCUAUUGAAAAUAUAUCUUUAACACAAGCAAUAUUUAGGAAAUGUAAAUAUAAGAGAGGAUUCAUUAGGAGGAGGCAAAAAUGUUAUGAAAAUGUCUAAAA
Long non-coding RNA from Orcinus orca (killer whale), 3705 nucleotides. RefSeq lists it as uncharacterized. NCBI's taxonomy places the organism in Eukaryota, Metazoa, Chordata, Mammalia, Artiodactyla, Delphinidae. The transcript is spliced from 2 exons. The record is from RefSeq and is a predicted model, not a curated record.